Molecule: ribosomal RNA, 292 nt
Filed under: uncultured bacterium
Lineage: Bacteria
Description: partial 16S ribosomal RNA
Source: RNAcentral
GGACUACUAGGGUUUCUAAUCCUGUUCGCUACCCACGCUUUCGCUUCUCAGCGUCAGUUACUUCCCAGAGACCCGCCUUCGCCACCGGUGUUCCUCCUGAUAUCUGCGCAUUUCACCGCUACACCAGGAAUUCCAGUCUCCCCUGAAGUACUCUAGUCUGCCCGUAUCGACCGCAGGCCCACAGUUGAGCUGUGAGUUUUCACGACCGACGUGACAGACCGCCUACAAGCUCUUUACGCCCAGUAAUUCCGGACAACGCUCGCACCCUACGUAUUACCGCGGCUGCUGGCAC